This 513-nucleotide ribosomal RNA is filed under the name uncultured bacterium. RNAcentral's name for it is "partial 16S ribosomal RNA". It matches the Rfam family "Bacterial small subunit ribosomal RNA", at positions 28 to 507 of the family's 1533-position model. The record is from RNAcentral.
GACGAACGCUGGCGGCGUGCUUAACACAUGCAAGUCGAACGAGAGCGUAGAGAAAGCUUGCUUUUUCUACAAUCUAGUGGCAAACGGGUGAGUAACGCGUAAACAACCUGCCCUACGGAUGGGGACAACAGCUGGAAACAGCUGCUAAUACCGAAUACGUUCCGAAAGUCGCAUGACUAUCGGAAGAAAGGAUGGCCUCUAUUUAUAAGCUAUCGCCGGAGGAGGGGUUUGCGUCUGAUUAGCUAGUUGGAGGGGUAACGGCCCACCAAGGCGACGAUCAGUAGCCGGUCUGAGAGGAUGAACGGCCACAUUGGAACUGAGACACGGUCCAGACUCCUACGGGAGGCAGCAGUGGGGAAUCUUCCGCAAUGGGCGAAAGCCUGACGGAGCAACGCCGCGUGAGUGAAGACGGCCUUCGGGUUGUAAAGCUCUGUUAUACGGGACGAAUAAUCUUGUGGUUAAUACCCAGGAGAAGUGACGGUACCGUAAGAGAAAGCCACGGCUAACUACGUG